This 61-nucleotide transfer RNA is filed under the name Rhabdophis tigrinus (Tiger keelback). RNAcentral's name for it is "tRNA-Gly". Lineage: Eukaryota; Metazoa; Chordata; Lepidosauria; Squamata; Natricidae. The record is from RNAcentral.
AUUUCUUUAGUAUAAGUGUACAAAUGCCUUCCAAGCAUUAAGACCCUCUCGGGAAGGAAUA